UACGGCCAAAUCAUGUUGAAACAGCGAUUCCCAUACAAUCACCAAAGUUAAACAACAUCCAGCCCGGUCAUUACCUGGAUGGGUGGUCACUUGGGAAUACCAGGUGCUGUAAU
This is a non-coding RNA of Acanthosepion pharaonis, 113 nucleotides long. Lineage: Eukaryota; Metazoa; Mollusca; Cephalopoda; Sepiida; Sepiidae. The record is from the annotation of a GenBank genome assembly.